GGGUCUUUGAGGUCCCGGGAUGGCAGCGAAAUCCGCGCCACACACCCGCAGCCCUGGGUGGCGCGCGGAAGAGCGGAGGGUCGCAUUUCGAGAAAAAAGAAGAGAAGAGAAAUUAGGAAUGGCUUCUACACACACUUGAUUUUCCCUGGAAAUUGGUGGAGAAAAAUAAUUCCAGGAAGAGCAAAUUUUAUGGACUGAAAUAUUUUGAGGUAUGAAAUAUAGGCUAACCUUUGGGAAGUGAGAUAAUACCUAUCAUUCUUCGAAGUGUGCCAAGAGUUAUGUCUCAUAUGGGACCUAAUUUAGUUCUCAUAACAUCACUCUGAGAAGUUAGCCCUACAUUAUCUAGAACCUUAGACCACACAGCUAGUUAUGCAUGCCAACUGUGAAAUUUUCAUUCCAGAUCUCCCAAUAUAAAGAAGCUCCUACAGGGGCAAGAAAUUAAAAGGAGGAAUGAGAUUAAAGAAUCAGUCAAAAG
This 475-nucleotide long non-coding RNA is filed under the name Mustela putorius furo (domestic ferret). RNAcentral's name for it is "lncRNA (ENSMPUG00000030132.1)". The record is from RNAcentral. Lineage: Eukaryota; Metazoa; Chordata; Mammalia; Carnivora; Mustelidae.